UCCGAUUUGUCACCGGCAGUCUCCCAUGAGUCCCCGUCCUUCACGCUGGCAACUAAGGACAAGGGUUGCGCUCGUUGCGGGACUUAACCCAACAUCUCACGACACGAGCUGACGACAGCCACGCACCACCUGUGCACUGGCCCCGAAGGGCUGCCGUAUUUCUACGGCAUUCCAGUGCAUGUCAAGCCUUGGUAAGGUUCUUCGCGUUGCGUCGAAUUGAACCACAUGCUCCACCGCUUGUGCGGGCCCCCGUCAAUUCCUUUGAGUUUUAAUCUUGCGACCGUACUCCCCAGGCGGGAUGCUUAAUGCGUUAGCUGCGCCACUGAAGGGUAAACCCACCAACGGCUAGCAUUCAUCGUUUACGGCGUGGACUAC
Molecule: unclassified non-coding RNA, 375 nt
Filed under: uncultured bacterium
Lineage: Bacteria
Description: contains 16S-23S intergenic spacer region
Source: RNAcentral